Ochotona princeps (American pika) is the source of this 4676-nucleotide RNA transcript. It is a transcript of the gene named transcription termination factor 2, with no coding region annotated. NCBI's taxonomy places the organism in Eukaryota, Metazoa, Chordata, Mammalia, Lagomorpha, Ochotonidae. The record is from RefSeq and is a predicted model, not a curated record. The transcript is spliced from 23 exons.
GAAGUAGGUCGUGGGGGUGCGGUGUGGUGGAAGGGGAGACGAGGGGCGUGAUGGAAGGAGUGAGGUGCCCGGAGCACGGGACUCUGUGCUUUCUGAAGACCGGCGUCCGCGACGGCCCUAAUAAAGGAAGGAGCUUCUACGUGUGCCGGACGGACACGUGCGGUUUCGUGCAGCCCACAGACAUCCAGGUCUCCCACUGCCUGUUGCAUGAGGACUUCGUGGUGGAGCUGCAGGGUUUGUUGUCAUCACAAGACAAGAAAGGCUACAGGUUGUUCUUCCGCUGCACCAGGAGUAAAGCUGAGGGGAAGCACUGGUGUGGAAGUGUUCCGUGGCAGGAUCCUAAUUACAAAGAACAUUCUGUAACCAGUAAGCCUCAGCAUGUCCUGGAGCCAUGCCGUCAUCCUCUCCAACAGCCAAGGAAUCCAUUCAAGGUGCUGGACAAGAAUCAAGAGCCCGUGCUCUGGAAACAGUUCCUCAAAGGGGACGCUGAGGACAAGGCCGCGGAGAAGCCAGAGGAGAGGAGUGAGGAACUCUUCAGUCACGAGAAGGAACAGAAGCCCGGGUCUAACUGCCAGGCCAAAACAGCUCUGUCUUCUGGCCUGGUGCUGAAGAGACCGCAGCCUGCAGCUGCGGGGCAGAAGCAAGCCGAGAGAAUGGAGUUGCCGCGUGUAGCCAAGGAGACUGAAAGCACACACAAAAGAAACUUGCCUCAAGUGAAACCCAAACAGCAUCAGAGGAGUGAGUUAAGCAGAUCCUCUGCCUCUCAGGAAAGACCAAACUGGGAGAGUCAGAAAGGGUCAGAAGCUCCAAGAGUGCAGGAGACCGAGCCUUUACCUCGGAACGUACCCCGACCGGACGCAGGUGAGCCCCGGAUAGGGCGUUCCCUCGGCAAGGAGCAGCCCGCAAAGCCGGCGGCUGCAGGAGCGAAGGAUGUGGGAGACACUGCAGUGCAGCCUCACCAGAAAGGGCUGUCCUUGGGGCCUUUGCAGCCACAGCCCGUGUGUCCAGGGGCGGCUUCCAAAGGGCAGGCAGCCCCGGGGCCGUCCCCAGAAGAGGGGUGUGCAGCUGCUGCAAGCAGCGAGGACAGUGAGGAGGAGGAUGAUCCUGUUAUCAGCUCUCAUCCAGGCAGCCCUCUGCUCCUCGGUUCGUCCCUGAACUCUGAGAAGGAGCAGAGUCUUCGACUGCCUGCUCCAAGGGUGCACAGCAAGCCCCCUCCUGCCUCGGCUGUCUCCAAGAAGGUGGAACCCUCCAACCCUGCAGCCCAGCGCGUGCACCUGACGACACAACUGAAACAAAAGAAGAGCACACUGGCAUCGGUGAAUAUCCAGGUCCUUCCAGACAAGGGUCAGAAGCUGCUGAAGCAAAUCCAGGAGCUGGAGGAAGCACUCAGUGCCCUUGCCCUCUCUCCAGAACCAGAAGCUGAGGAGAAGAACAACACUCAAGUGCCACAAAAGAGCAACUUCACCAAAAGUACCACUGACCCUCCCCAUUUGGUGCCUCCUCAACCACUUCCGUGUCGUGAUCUCCAGCCCGUGGGUUCUCUAGGACUCACCACUGCGGGCCAGGUAACCGCUGCUGGCCCUGGACAGUCCUGUGGAGGCCAUAAGAAGCAAGAUUACCUUCACACAGUGUGGAAAAUCACCAGUGAAGCCAUUGAUGAGCUGCAUCGAUCCCUUGAGUCCCGACCUGGUGAGGCAGCUGAGGCAGAAGAUCCAGCUGGGCUGAAGGUCCCUUUGCUGCUACACCAGAAGCAGGCACUGGCCUGGUUACUCUGGCGGGAAAGUCAGAAGCCACAAGGAGGAAUUCUGGCGGACGAUAUGGGCCUGGGAAAAACCCUGACAAUGAUUGCACUCAUCCUGACCCAAAACAAUCAAGAGGCCAACAAAGAAAAGGACAAAAACUUGUCUUUGACGUGGCUUUCCAAAGACGACUCGGCUGACUUUAUCUCCCAUGGAACACUGAUCAUCUGCCCUGCUUCUCUGAUCCAUCACUGGAAGAAUGAGGUGGAGAAACAUGUGAACAGCAGCAAACUCAGAGUCUGUCUCUACCACGGGCCGCUCCGGACCCAACACGCCAAAGUGCUGUCAACAUACGACAUCGUGAUCACUACCUAUAGCCUUGUGGCUAAGGAGAUUCCCACAAAGAAGCAAGAGGGAGAAGUUUCAGGUGCAGAGCUGAGUGUGGAGGGCACCUCAACACCUUUGCUUCGAAUAGUCUGGGCUCGGAUCAUAUUAGAUGAGGCUCACAAUGUGAAGAAUCCCCGAGUGCAAACAUCUAUAGCUGUGUGUAAGCUACGAGCCCGUGCCCGUUGGGCUGUUACUGGAACCCCUAUUCAAAACAACUUGUUGGAUAUGUAUUCCCUGCUGAAAUUUCUUCGUUGUUCUCCAUUUGAUGAUUUCAAUCUGUGGAGAAGUCAGGUUGACAAUGGUUCAAAGAAAGGAGGAGAGCGAUUAAGUAUUUUAACCCAGAGCCUUUUACUAAGGAGAACAAAAAACCAACUGGAUUCCACAGGCAAACCUCUGGUGAUGCUGCCGCAGCGUAAAUUUCAGUUACACCAGUUAAAGCUUUCUGAAGAUGAAGAGACUGUAUACAGUGUCCUGUAUGCAAGAUCAAGGUCAGCUCUGCAGUCCUACCUCAAAAGGCAAGAGAGUGGAAGCAACCGAUCAGGAGGAAGUCCUGAUAAUCCCUUCAGCAGAGUGGCCCGGGAGUUCGGGUCCAGUGGGCCAGGGUCCUCCGUGGCUGCAGACUCGCCAAGGUCCAGCACCGUGCACAUAUUGUCCCAGUUGCUGAGACUCCGCCAGUGUUGCUGUCAUCUUUCUUUACUGAAGUCGGCCCUGGAUCCCACAGAACUGAAGAGCGAAGGCCUCGUCCUCUCCCUAGAAGACCAGCUCAACGCUCUGACCUUGUCCGAACUCCAUGACCCAGACCCAUCACCUACUGUUUCCCUUAACGGCACCUGCUUCAAAGUGGAGCUCUUUGAAGACAAACGAGAGAGCACCAAGAUAACAUCUCUGUUGGCAGAACUGGAGGCAAUCCGAAGCAAUUCAAAGUCCCAAAAGAGUGUUAUUGUCUCUCAGUGGACCAGCAUGCUCCGAGUUGUAGCAUUGCACCUCAAGAGGCGUGGACUGACUUAUGCCACCAUCGAUGGUUCCGUCAACCCCAAACAGAGAAUGGAUUUGGUGGAAGCAUUUAACCGCUCCGGCAGCCCUCAGGUUAUGCUAAUUUCCCUCUUGGCUGGAGGUGUUGGUCUAAAUCUGACUGGAGGAAACCAUCUUUUUCUUCUGGACAUGCACUGGUAACAAUGCUGGCUUUUUCUUGAGUUGUCAGAGCACAGCGGGAAGGCCAGUGGUCUAGAGGGAUGAUGAGCACUGCUGACCUGUCACAGUGAAAGUGCUCUGUGUCACGGAGAUGCCUCUGUGCAAACAGGUUUAACAGAGAAAAGGCCUAGUUGGCCUCCCUGAAUUCCUGAGCUGGAACCCAUCACUUGAAGAUCAAGCAUGUGACCGAAUUUACCGAGUGGGGCAGCAGAAAGACGUUGUCGUCCACAGGCAAAUUUGUGUGUAAGGGGACAGUGGAAGAGAAGAUCUUGCAGCUCCAAGAGAAAAAGAAAGAUUUGGCCAAGCAGGUUCUAUCAGGUUCUGGAGAAUCUGUCACCAAGCUCACCCUGGCUGACCUCAAAGUCCUUUUUGGCAUCUAACCUUGCUUACUGAGCACAUAACACUGCCAUUGCUGGCUUGCAUUAGGACCUGGGAAUGACCACUUAACCAUGGUCCUUGGGUUUUGCUCUUGGCAUUCUGUUUCACCUUCAAGCCUUACCCCCUCCUCAAAAUGAAGCAUAAUCUUACCACCCUAGAGCUGAGAGUACAUGUUGGCUAGCCAAUCAACAUAUUUAAUGCGUGGCACAACAGCCAGUUGGUUAUUAACAUAAAGGAAAAUAUUUUGGAAAACAACUCUGGCAGAACUGUACAUAAAUCCCAGUGAAAAUCAGAACACCCCUGGUUGGUUUUUUCUUCUUACCUUUUGGGAGAGCCGGUGUUGUUACCGUCUCUACUACGGCCUGCACCCCAUCUCUUGUCUCAGCUUGCUCAGCACGCUCCCCCAUAGCCAUCUUUUGGUGACGGGCAGAGUAGAUCGCUGUGGCCAGCCAGCCAUUUCAAUGCAGCUGUCUCAGUCCAAGAAGUUAGUUGCUCCUCCUGGGCUGAAGACCAACGGAAUGCUUUGUAUGAAGGCACUUCAAAAAUUUUGUGGAAAAUGGAAGUAGAAUAUUGUUUAUUUUGGUGCAAAAAUGUUUGAAAUCUGUGCACAUUUUUUCACACUAGACAUUUCCUCUGAGUUUUCUGAAGUCCCUUCAUGUAUAAACUGAGUUGAAUAUCAUGGUAUCAUCUACUGUCAGUGUUAUCAUUUAGUGGUGUAUCAUUUUGAUAUUAGUGUAUGUCACUAGUAGUAUUGGUUACCAUCAUGUUACUUAACGUCAUUGCACUAUUUAGUAUUUUCAUCAUGUAACAUAUGUAUCAUAAUUUAAUAUUUUUAUAAUCUAACAGUAUUUUAGUUACAAGUUUAUAGUGUUUGUAGAAUUUAGUAUCAUUUCAUUUUGUGUCACUUGGUGGUGACAUCAUUGUAUCUGUAGUAUUUGUAUUAUCAUUGACAUGAUGUAAUAAACAUGUCUGACCAUGUAA